AGGUCAGGGAUAGUGUAAUGCU
Molecule: microRNA, 22 nt
Filed under: Patiria miniata (bat star)
Lineage: Eukaryota; Metazoa; Echinodermata; Asteroidea; Valvatida; Asterinidae
Description: Pmi-Mir-92-o26_5p* (star (passenger))
Source: RNAcentral